GACGAACGCUGGCGGCGUGCCUAAUACAUGCAAGUAGAACGCUGAAGGAGGAGCUUGCUUCUCCGGAUGAGUUGCGAACGGGUGAGUAACGCGUGGGUAACCUGCCUGGUAGCGGGGGAUAACUAUUGGAAACGAUAGCUAAUACCGCAUAAGAGUAGAUGUUGCAUGACAUUUGCUUAAAAGGUGCAAUUGCAUCACUACCAGAUGGACCUGCGUUGUAUUAGCUAGUUGGUGGGGUAACGGCUCACCAAGGCGACGAUACAUAGCCGACCUGAGAGGGUGAUCGGCCACACUGGGGCUGAGACACGGCCCAGACUCCUACGGGAGGCAGCAGUAGGGAAUCUUCGGCAAUGGACGGAAGUCUGACCGAGCAACGCCGCGUGAGUGAAGAAGGUUUUCGGAUCGUAAAGCUCUGUUGUAAGAGAAGAACGAGUGUGAGAGUGGAAAGUUCACACUGUGACGGUAUCUUACCAGAAAGGGACGGCUAACUACGUGC
RNAcentral lists this ribosomal RNA (496 nucleotides) under uncultured Streptococcus sp. RNAcentral's name for it is "bacterial SSU rRNA". It matches the Rfam family "Bacterial small subunit ribosomal RNA", at positions 28 to 508 of the family's 1533-position model. The record is from RNAcentral. Lineage: Bacteria; Bacillati; Bacillota; Bacilli; Lactobacillales; Streptococcaceae.